Molecule: ribosomal RNA, 2877 nt
Filed under: Burkholderia multivorans
Lineage: Bacteria; Pseudomonadati; Pseudomonadota; Betaproteobacteria; Burkholderiales; Burkholderiaceae
Description: bacterial LSU rRNA
Rfam family: Bacterial large subunit ribosomal RNA
Source: RNAcentral
UCAAGCGAACAAGUGCAUGUGGUGGAUGCCUUGGCGAUCACAGGCGAUGAAGGACGCGGUAGCCUGCGAAAAGCCCCGGGGAGCUGGCAAACAAGCUUUGAUCCGGGGAUGUCCGAAUGGGGAAACCCACUCCUUAUGGAGUAUCCAUGACUGAAUACAUAGGUCAUGUGAAGCGAACGCGGUGAACUGAAACAUCUAAGUAACCGCAGGAAAAGAAAUCAACCGAGAUUCCCAAAGUAGUGGCGAGCGAAAUGGGAUGAGCCUUGUACUCUUUAUUUGUAUUGUUAGCCGAACGCUCUGGAAAGUGCGGCCAUAGCAGGUGAUAGCCCUGUAGGCGAAAACAGUAUGAAAGAACUAGGUGUACGACAAGUAGGGCGGGACACGUGAAAUCCUGUCUGAAGAUGGGGGGACCAUCCUCCAAGGCUAAAUACUCGUGAUCGACCGAUAGUGAACCAGUACCGUGAGGGAAAGGCGAAAAGAACCCCGGGAGGGGAGUGAAAUAGAUCCUGAAACCGCAUGCAUACAAACAGUCGGAGCCUCGUAAGGGGUGACGGCGUACCUUUUGUAUAAUGGGUCAGCGACUUACGUUCAGUAGCAAGCUUAACCGUAUAGGGCAGGCGUAGCGAAAGCGAGUCCGAAUAGGGCGUUCAGUUGCUGGGCGUAGACCCGAAACCAGGUGAUCUAUCCAUGGCCAGGAUGAAGGUGCGGUAACACGUACUGGAGGUCCGAACCCACUAACGUUGAAAAGUUAGGGGAUGAGCUGUGGAUAGGGGUGAAAGGCUAAACAAACCUGGAAAUAGCUGGUUCUCUCCGAAAACUAUUUAGGUAGUGCCUCGUGUCUCACCUUCGGGGGUAGAGCACUGUCAUGGUUGGGGGGUCUAUUGCAGAUUACCCCGCCAUAGCAAACUCCGAAUACCGAAGAGUGCAAUCACGGGAGACAGACAUCGGGUGCUAACGUCCGGUGUCAAGAGGGAAACAACCCAGACCGCCAGCUAAGGUCCCCAAAUAUGGCUAAGUGGGAAACGAAGUGGGAAGGCUAAAACAGUCAGGAGGUUGGCUUAGAAGCAGCCACCCUUUAAAGAAAGCGUAAUAGCUCACUGAUCGAGUCGUCCUGCGCGGAAGAUGUAACGGGGCUAAGCCAUAUACCGAAGCUGCGGAUGCGUGCUUGCACGCAUGGUAGGAGAGCGUUCCGUAAGCCUGCGAAGGUGCCUUGUAAAGGGUGCUGGAGGUAUCGGAAGUGCGAAUGCUGACAUGAGUAGCGAUAAAGGGGGUGAAAGGCCCCCUCGCCGUAAGCCCAAGGUUUCCUACGCAACGUUCAUCGGCGUAGGGUGAGUCGGCCCCUAAGGCGAGGCAGAAAUGCGUAGCUGAUGGGAAGCAGGUCAAUAUUCCUGCACCGUCGUUAGAUGCGAUGGGGGGACGGAUCGCGGAAGGUUGUCCGGGUGUUGGACGUCCCGGUCGCUGCAUUGGAGAAGGCGCUUAGGCAAAUCCGGGCGCAGGAUUCAAGGGUGUGGCGCGAGCGACUUCGGUCGCGAAGCAAUUGGAAGUGGUUCCAAGAAAAGCCUCUAAGCUUCAGUCUAACGAUGACCGUACCGCAAACCGACACAGGUGGGCGAGAUGAGUAUUCUAAGGCGCUUGAGAGAACUCGGGAGAAGGAACUCGGCAAAUUGGUACCGUAACUUCGGGAUAAGGUACGCCCUUGUAGCUUGACUGGCCUGCGCCAGGAGGGUGAAGGGGUUGCAAUAAACUGGUGGCUGCGACUGUUUAAUAAAAACACAGCACUCUGCAAACACGAAAGUGGACGUAUAGGGUGUGACGCCUGCCCGGUGCCGGAAGAUUAAAUGAUGGGGUGCAAGCUCUUGAUUGAAGUCCCGGUAAACGGCGGCCGUAACUAUAACGGUCCUAAGGUAGCGAAAUUCCUUGUCGGGUAAGUUCCGACCUGCACGAAUGGCGUAACGAUGGCCACACUGUCUCCUCCCGAGACUCAGCGAAGUUGAAGUGUUUGUGAUGAUGCAAUCUACCCGCGGCUAGACGGAAAGACCCCAUGAACCUUUACUGUAGCUUUGCAUUGGACUUUGAACCGAUCUGUGUAGGAUAGGUGGGAGGCUAUGAAACCGGAACGCUAGUUUCGGUGGAGCCGUCCUUGAAAUACCACCCUGGUUUGUUUGAGGUUCUAACCUUGGUCCGUGAUCCGGAUCGGGGACAGUGCAUGGUAGGCAGUUUGACUGGGGCGGUCUCCUCCCAAAGGGUAACGGAGGAGUACGAAGGUACGCUAGGUACGGUCGGAAAUCGUGCUGAUAGUGCAAUGGCAUAAGCGUGCUUAACUGCGAGACCGACAAGUCGAGCAGGUGCGAAAGCAGGUCAUAGUGAUCCGGUGGUUCUGUAUGGAAGGGCCAUCGCUCAACGGAUAAAAGGUACUCUGGGGAUAACAGGCUGAUACCGCCCAAGAGUUCAUAUCGACGGCGGUGUUUGGCACCUCGAUGUCGGCUCAUCUCAUCCUGGGGCUGUAGCCGGUCCCAAGGGUAUGGCUGUUCGCCAUUUAAAGAGGUACGUGAGCUGGGUUUAAAACGUCGUGAGACAGUUUGGUCCCUAUCUGCCGUGGGCGUUGGAUAUUUGAAGGGGGCUGCUCCUAGUACGAGAGGACCGGAGUGGACGAACCUCUGGUGUACCGGUUGUGACGCCAGUCGCAUCGCCGGGUAGCUAUGUUCGGAAGAGAUAACCGCUGAAAGCAUCUAAGCGGGAAACUCGCCUUAAGAUGAGAUAUCCCUGGAGGCUUGACCUCCUUGAAGGGUCGUUCGAGACCAGGACGUUGAUAGGUCGGGUGUGUAAGCGCAGUAAUGCGUUCAGCUAACCGAUACUAAUUGCCCGUAAGGCUUGAUC